AGACCGUUUCUCUGUAUAGCCCCUGGAACUCACUUUAAUAUGGUAGAAGUGCUAUGUAGAGGCCAGCCAGAUAAUUCUGCUAGUACCUCUAGGUUUCAAAAAUACAUAGUCUCAUAUCUCUAGAUGCAAUUUUGCCUUCUUUAACUACACUUAAACUACUUUAGGAAAUAAGUGAAUGUGUAGGGAGCAGAUACCUCUGGUGUUUUUGUUUACUGUGAGGACUUUAGCUGCCGGGGAAUUAAAAAGAUGGCAUGAUUGUAGCUCACACAUUAUCCACUCGUGUCUGUGGCAGUCCUACAAUGACACCGUUUUGCUGGAAGCUAUAUAGAACGAGUGUAGAAUAUGGGUCAAACUUAUUAGACACAUCAUUUGAUUAUAUUAUAAAACUGCCUAACUGGACACUAUAUGUCACUUGACCGAGGAAAAAGUUACAGGAGACACAUACCUUCAUCUACACAAAUUACUUAAGUGCUUUGCCACCACUUGUGAAUUAGUCAGGUGCAGGACAUGGGGGCAGUGGGCUAAAAACUUUUCUAGAACAAAUAGUGAGAUCUAAGUUAAAAAUUCAGUAAAGAGGCUAAGGAGAUGGUUCAGUGGUUAAGAGCGCUUACUGCUCAUGCAGAAGACCUGUGUUCAGUACCCAGCACUGACAGAGUCACUCACAACCUCCUGGAACUCCAGUGGCAUGUGGUAUGAUAUUGUCUUUUGACCUCUGAAGGCUCAUGCAUGAAUAUGGUGUAUUAUGCACACUCAAGCGCACAUGUGCAUGUACACACACGCGCACAUGCACACAUACACACAAAUAAAUAAUAGUAAAUAAAUAAAUCAAAUUUUCACAUUUUAAUAAGGGGAAUAUUUCUUUACUUUCAAAAUAUCUGAUUCUCCUAACUGUACAUUGAUACAGCCUACAGUUAGACUCUGGCCAUGGGUUAUUACAUGAUAAAUGCUAAGGGGAGAGAAACUUUUGAGAAACUGAGGGUAUUGUUUGCCACAGAUGAUAAUACGUAAAUUAUUAGUAUGUGAGGCUUUCAGGGAGUGUACAAAUAGCACGUCAAUUGAAGGCAUUUCAUCUGAGCUGUGGGCACGAGUCUUCACAGAUCAGUAGGGCCUGAAAAGAGAAUGCAUGAUAAGACCAUUCAGAAGUUAUUAGUAGGGGAAUUGUGUGCCUUUCUAGGGUCUGGGUCUUCUGUUAUCAUAAAGUCUGAAAGCACCAAUUCCUUAAGUCAGUGGAUUUACUUUAACGUUCACUCCGCCAGUAGAUUAGGAAACGCAUUCUCCUUCUUAGGCAGAAGUGGAGAGCUGUGAGUGCACCUGCUGACUCUGCCUGCAUCGUUGGAACCCAUUACUCUUAGUUACAUCCUGUCUCUUAGCGGCUACGACAGAAUAAUGAUUUUUUUUCCCCUAAUGAAAACGUUACUCAGCAAUCUUGUCAGCAUCUCCCUUUCUCCGGAAUGUUGUCCUCUACUUGCUUUGUGAAUUGAAAAAGAAGGAAGGACAAAUAUUGUCUUCAGGGUACAAUUUGUCUUAUAAAAAUAUAUAAUACCAAUUUUAAUGAAUUCUAUUAGUGGAAAGCUUCAAACAGCAUCACCUGCUGUCAUUCUUGAUAAUGUAUGCAUAUUAUUUGACAUUAGUUUGUAAUCAAUUUAUACUUAAAUAGUCCAAGUAUAUUCUAGUUUUUAAUACUUAGAGAAACUAAUUUAUAAUGAAAUUAUUUUAUCAUUUCUCAUUUUAAUAUACAUUGGAAAGAUAAAUAUGCUUGAAUUUAUGGUAUUCUAUACGUUCAUUAUAUGAUAGCUCAUAAGUAAUACUAUAUAAACUGGCACUAACAUUUUUCAUGUUACAAAGAUGAUGAUUGUUCUUCCCCAACAUUAGGAAAAUAACAACUUCUCUCUUUUUUAUUGUUAUAUUUAUUUAUUUGUUUACUUUACAUCCUGCUCACCGUCAGCCUCCCCCACAAUCCUUCCCACAUGCCACCCUCCCCUUCUCCUCUGAGUGGGUGGUGGCUGCCUGGUUAUCUCCCCAUCCUGGAACAUGAAGUCUCUGAGAGGCUAGGCACUUCCUCUCCCACUAAGGCCACACAAGACAGUCCAGCUAGAACGUACCCCGCAUACAGGCAACAGCCUUUGAGUUAGUCCCUGCUCCAGUUGGAUAGGGCCCACAUGAAGACCAAGCUGAACAUCUACUCCCUAUUUGCCUGGAGGCUUAGAGCCAUCCUGUGUAUGUUCUUUGGUUGGUGGUUCAGACUCUGAGAGCCCCAAGGGUCCAGGUUAGUUGAUUUUGUUGGUCUUCCUGUGGAGUUCUUAUCUUAGGGACUGGACCCCUUCUUGAAUAACUUCUCUCUUUAGGUUAGGUCAUACUGACAGUUUUCCUUCAAUCUUUUUAAAGAAUACUUUCAUCUUAUAAGAACAUCCUAGAGAAGAGCCCCGUAUAUCAGUAUCCUCUUCAUUUCAAGAAACACAUGUUUACAUUUUUUUUUAAGAAAAGGACUUUCAUCUAGAGAUUCUCAUGAAGGAAGGAUACUAUGGGAAAAGAAAUCAAUAAGAAAUUCCCAGGAGAGAUACCUGAAACUGUAAAACCCAAAAGGGAUUUAUAGACAGAAUAUAAAAACCAUUUCCAAAAUUACAAUGUCCAGGGAGCAGGGUGAGGAAGAAGAGAGCCUCAAAAAUAACAAAGGCAAAGUUCUAAAACAUAGUUCAAAAUGGAGGAAAUCCAAAAGACUAACAAUCACAGCAUGUGUCCCAGUCUAGCAGGAUUUAAAGACAUGCUAAUUAAACCAACAGUAACAUAUCCAUUUAUGCCUGGAGGAUUAGCAAGUUUUAGAAAGCUGAACAAUGACAAAUAUUGGGAGAAGUAGUGAGACAUAAGAAAGCUUCUUCCCAGAGUGUAGUAGAGCCAUGGAGCCGCCCCGGAAAAACCAAUCUGAGGCAAUUCUUAGUCCAGUUAUGUUCACAUACCAUCUCUAUCCCCAAAGCUCACCCCAAAGUACACCAUGCAAAUUUUCUCAUCCAGAAAGGAAGGGAGGGAGGAAGGGAGAGAGAGAGAGAGAGAGAGAGAGAGAGAGAGAGAGAGAGAGAGAGAGAGAGAGAGAGAGAACAAGCCAUUAAGUCAUGUAAUGUCCGCAUUUAUUAGCAAUUAUGAAAACUAUGAAAUGAAGGUAUGAAGCUGUGAUUAAAGUAACCAUACCCUUGCCAUAUAAAAAUAAUUAUGAACAGAUAUACAUACAACUGUGCAAGCACAAGAGGUUCAAAUUGUGAGUCCUAAGUCUUUAUUGUUGUUCAAGUGCUUUAACAAUGGCAUUGAUGUAUUUCUUAAACAGAAUUGCUCCAAGGCACUGUUUCUUCACAACUAAGAUAGAAAUUUCCAGACAAGAACCCUGCCAACAUUAUCACCUUGAGAACAUGAUCCCAAGCUUCGGUUAGACUGUCUUCAGUUUCAGGGCAUUUGUAAGUCACUUGAGUACAUAAAAGGCCAGUCAACUGAAGCUGGCCAUUUAUUUAUUUUGAGUUGUCUGUUCAAUAGGCAAGAACUCCCCAUAUGAUUCUUCAUAGAGAUCAAUUAUUUCCUGGAAGAAGUCUUCAAGAUUCAGAGUGAUGGUGUUUUGUUUAGCCAGUUUAGGCAUGUUAUAUGUCUAGACAAAAAUCUCUUUCAGAAAGAUGGCUUUGAUAUAGACCCACAAAUAUUUAAAAAUCAAAAUGUAACUCUUUGGCCAGGCAAUAACCCUCCAUGUGGGUGAACUGGAUGAGAUUUCCAGACCUUCUCUCUCCUGACUUUGAAUUUGCAGCAUCUGGAAUUGAUACUCAUGGUCAUGGUAAUACUUCUGUCUGUCAGAAUGUAUUUUAUCCGAAAUUUUCAGUGUACUUUGCGAUUUAUUAAUCCUUGGAACACCUAAAUAAGGUAGGCAGAUUUUUUUCCCCUAGAGCAACAAAAGAAAUAGAGAGCUGAAAUGAAACUGUACAUAGCCAGCCAUUUGAAGAAAUGGGAGGAAGUGCUCUGCUGUUAGGACAGGAGCCAAUCCUGUUACAUGCUGAACUCCACUGACAGGAUCAUUAUACAAGUCUUCAAUGAAAUUUUAUAGCAUCUGAGAAAGGAAUGAAGAUUUUUUUUUAAACAUCAAAAUUAAUAGAGACGUAAGGAACUAAAAAUAUAACAUCUGACACUGAAAAUGUACUUUUGAGAUAUCACUACAUAUUCCAGUUUAUUGAGUUUAAUGUUUGAACAAACCACUCGUGAUUUGACACUAAAUGUAUGAAUAUGUGUGAAGUGUGAUGGUAUUUGCCUUUGAGUGGUGACAUAACUUGGCUGAAGGCACACACUAGGGAGCAGAGUUAGCAUAUUUUGCUUCUGUUAUCUGCAUCUUGGUUGUUUGUUUUUUUUUUUUUUUUUUUUUUUUAUGUCUGGUUGACUUCGCAUUCACUUCUGAUUUCCAUGCAGCUUAAUAGAGUUUUCCUGAUUUGUCAUGGACAACUUAUGCAUGUGAUUAAUAUUAUAAUAACCAGCGGACAAAUUCUUUGCAAUGAUAAUGAACCCUUCCUUCUGCCAAAGUGAUUGUACUUCCAAUGGCUCGCAUCCCUGGAGAUGCACAGGAUAAACUGAAUACUUUGGGUAUUGUGCGGAUGGCUAAAAAAAAUGAUAAUGUUAUGUAAUAUAGCAUAGGAUAUUUGUUGGUUCAGUUAAGAACAUAAUGUAAAUGAAGUACAUUAAAAUAAUUACUCAACUAUAUAUAUAUAUGACUGAAUAACUACUAAUAGUUGUUACAAUGAAGUCACGUUUCAUAAUAUGGCUUCCAUAUUAUGUGCUGACAAUUAUAUCAAAAUAGUAUAUCAUAUACCCUAUGAACAGCACAAUUUUCUUCUUAUUAAUAUUUUAAAAAUUGGAAAUGCAUUUUAUUAAUAAAUAGACCCAGUCUUUAGUGUGUGAUACUCUUUCCUCUAAAAACAAUAUAAUAAAUAGACUUUUCUCUCUGAUUUUAAUAUUUGCAUAAAAUGCAAAACCUUUUACAUAAUGGAAUAGUCACUUUCUUUAAUAUUAGAUUGCUUUAUUAUUAAUGCUAUUGUAACAUUCUUACCACAUUAAAAUGAAUAUUAAUAUUAUGGUAAUAUAUGACUUAUGAUAAUGUGUUAACAAUAUGACCUUAAAACAGAGUAUUUUAUAUCAAUCAACACUUGUCUUUUAAUCAAACCACCUUUAAAAUUUAGGUCAUAUUACCUAUGUGCACUUUCAAGUCACAUUUCCAGACAAAAGGAGUUCCUUUGGCUUCUCUCACUGAAAGUGUGUUAGCUAUCACAGACCAUGAAGAGCACAAACAUAAUGCAGGCCUGUCAAGGGACUUCCCUGAUAGCAAACGGGUCUGUGGAGGAAUGUCUUCUCUGGCCAUGCCUACCAUUGUGCAAGGAUUCAGUGCAAAACAUUGUCUUCAGGAUCCAGAGCUUGCUGUUUUAUGGCAAACAAAAACAAAAACAAAACAAAACAAAACAAAAACAACAAGCUCUCUUUUCUAUUCAACCCAAAAUGAGAUAUUUUGUAUCAAGAAACAUAGUCUAACAAAAGUAAGUAUGCAAUAGGCCUUUUUUAAUUAGAAAGCAUUAAUUUUCUGAGAAGAAAUAUUUUUAUCAAGAACUCUUUAUUAGAUAUUUUCUUAAUAUACACUUCAAAUGCUAUCCUGAAAGUUCCCUAUACCCUCCCCCCACCCUGCUCCCCUACCCACUCACUCCUGCUUUUUGGCCCUGGCAUUCCCCUGUACUGAGGCAUAUAAAGUUUGCAAUACCAAGGGGCCUCUCUUCCCAGUGAUGGCCAACUAGGCCAUCUUCUUCUACAUAUGCAGCUAGAGACACGAGCUCUGGUGGUACUGGUUAGUUCAUAUUGUUGUUCCACCUAUAGGGUUGCAGACCCCUUCAGCUCCUUGGCUGCUUUCUCUAGCUCCUCCAUUGGGGGCCCUGUGUUCCAUCCAAUAGAUGACUGUGAGCAUCCACUUCUGUAUUUGCCAGGCACUGGCAUAGCCUCAUGCGAGACAGCUAUAACAGGGUCCCUUCAGCAAAAUCUUUCUAGCAUAUGCAAUAGUGUCUGUGUUUGGUGGCUGAUUAUGGGAUGGAUCCCCGGGUGGGCUAGUCUCUGGAUAUUCCAUCCUUUCAUCUUAGCUCCAAACUUUGUCUCUGUAACUCCUUUCAUGGGUAUUUUGAUCCCUAUUCUAAGGAGGAAUGAAGUAUUCACCCAUUGGUCUUCCCUCUUCUUGAUUUUCUUGUGUUUUGCAAAUUGUAUCUUGGGUGUUCUAUGUUUCUGGGCUAAUAUCCACUUAUCAGUGAGUGCAUAUCUAAUGACUUCUUUUGUUAUUGGGUUACCUCACUAAGGAUGAUACCCUCCAGAUCCAUCUAUUUGUCCAAGAAUUUCAUAAAUCCAUUGUUUUUCAUAGCUGAGUAGUACUCCAUUGUGUAAAUGUACCACAUUUUCUGUAUCCAUUCUUCUGUUGAGGGACAUCUGGGUUCUUUCCAGCUUCUAGCUAUUAUAAAUAAGGUUGCUAUGAACAUAGUGGAGCAUAUAAGAACUUUUUGAAACUAACUUGAAGCAAACUUUUCUAAAAUGUAUUUGCCACUUUGUUUUAUAUAUCUGAGAAUGUGGUGGUCAGUUGUUUGGCUGUGUCUUAGUGAAUGAGCUUUUCAUACUACUGUAUGUUUCAUGCCUCUGGUGUUAUCUAAUUUCUUGUAUGUAUUCUAGAAAAAAAAUUGCUCAUUUCUACCCAUUCUCAAAAUCACAACCUGGUUGAACUUUGUUUUUAUAUCACCUAAUAUCCAUAUUCUAACUCUAAUAAAUAUUUGCUACUUGUCUUAUGCCCACUUAUACCCAUAUCUGUUAUAUCUAAAAGUAUGAGAGUAAAUUAAGGCACUAAUACCCAUGUAACUGUUUUAAUCUAUAAAUGUCAGUGUUCUGCCAAUAGCUACCAAAAAGUAAAGCAUAUCAGAUGAAUACCCCUUACUCAUUGGUGCACAGUGACAUAACAGUAAACACAUACAAGGUCUCCCCUUUCUUUCAGAACCUAGUCCUUAGAAUUUCACAGACCCUUUUCCCUGUCUCUCCUGGUACAAACACUAUACAGAUCUCAGCAUCCCAUUCCACUGAAUGUUAGACAGUGAGACAUGCUUUCCUGUCUCCACUCAUUACAGUCUUCCCUCUCCUUGGUUUGACUGGCUUCAAUGUUUGCAGAGAUUAGUCUCUGCUCUGCUUUAUAGGGCUGCUUGUCUUUCUCUGUUUGCAUUUUUUGGUGGCUGCCAAUUUUUACCUCUCUUCUUUGAUACUUGUUUCCACCCCGCCCUUGAGUUUUGUUCCGUUCUAACCAUCAGAGGGCCCAUUCGCAAAAGACCUUUGAGUUAAGAGAAACCUGGAUAAGCUUUCAUAAUUUAACCCCAUUCUUUGAAGCACAAAGAAUGUUCUUUUGCUUUCUCCGUGAGAAAUUUGUCUAAAUUAAAACAGUGGCUGAUGUUUACCUAAGAGUUUACACUGAGAAAUGGCAAAAAAAAAAAAAAAAAAAAAAAAAAAAAAAAAAGUACUGCAACUGAAUCCUCCAGUUUGCAAGACCAAUGGGCCUCUCUUUCCAAUGAUGACCGACUAGGCCAUCUUCUGCUACAUAUGCAGCUAGAGACACGAGCUCUGGGGUGCUGGUUAGUUCAUAAUGUUGUCCCACCUAUAGGGUUGCAGACCCCUUCAGCUCCUUGAGUACUUUCUCUAGCUCCUCCAUUGGGGGUAAUUUACUUUUUUAUUUUUAAUUAUUCACUUUACAUCCCACUCACUGCCUGCCUCCAUGUCACCCCUCACACAAUCCUUCCCCCAUCCCCCAUCUGUCCCCUCUCCCCUGAGAGAGUUGCCUCUCCCCCCACCCCCACCCCUGUGAAUGUGUCUCACCCUCAUCCUGGCACUUCAAGUCUCUGCUAAUAAAACAUAGCUCACAAACAGGCAACAGCUUUUGGGAUAGCCCCAGUUCCAGUUGUUCAGGACCCAUAUGAAGGUCAAGCUGUCCAUCUGCUACAUACACAGUAGGGAAGCCUAAGGCCAGCUGGUGUAUGCUCUUUGAUGGUUCAGACUCUGAGAUCCUCAAGGAUACACCUUAGUUAGCUCUGAUGGUCUUACUACAGAUGAACUCUUUUCAAACCAACGUAACUUCUCAAUAUGAUCUUCUCUGAGAAAACCUUACCAGUUGUCCUAGAAGGAUAUCAUCCCUUCCUGUACCUUGUGUUGUCCUCCCUCCUUGGUGCACGUUGCAAUGUGACUUGUGCUGCUGUCAUUUGCAUGUGUAUGUCACUUUUUUUUUUAAUUAAACUGUAGUUCUGUCUUUUUUUCAUCUUUGUGUUGAUGGUGCUUUACUCAAUGCUGAGCAUGGAGUAAGCAUUCACUAAGUCUAAGAUACUAAGUAGAUGACUUUGCCUAUCGUUUUUUAGUUAAAAUACACCACAUUCUUUAUUUAAAGGCACACCCCUCUACCUGAUAUUUGUAGCUCACAGCAAAUAAAGCAUCCGGGCGUGGUGGCACAGGCCAUUAAUCCCAGCACUCGGGAGGCAGAGGCAGGCGGAUUUCUGAGUUCAAGGCCAGCCUAGUCUACAAAGUGAGUUCCAGGACAGCUAGGGCUACACAGAGAAACCCUGUCUCAAAAAAACCAAAUGACAAUAAUUAAUAAUAAUAAUGAUAAUAAUAAAUAAUAAAGCAGACAUGAAUUGAAAAUAAGCUGUAAUGGAAGGUGACUUGAGUUUAUUACAAAACAGAUACUAGCCUCUACUUUGUAUUAGUGAGGGCUUGUGGAUUCUCUGAAAUAUAAAAGGAUCAAUGCUGACUGCCACAGACGCUAUCCCUGAACAAAUAUCCUGACAAGAGAAAGUCCAAAUAUCCAUAUGAUUUCAUUAAUUAAUAUGAAUAUAUACAUAUACAUGUACACAUAUAUUGCUCAAUCAACGUUUAUAAAAUAGGCUUUGAUUUUCUUGAAAACAGAUUCUAUUUUACAUGUCUGUGUCCUCUUCCACUUCUCAAUUAUAACAAAAAAUAAUCAUCAAAUAUUUAUUUAUUCAUUUGACUUCAAAUAGUAAGAUUAAAAUGAAAUUCUAUAAAAAUGAAACAAUAGUGUGGCAAGAUGGCAGUCAGUGGUUCUCUGCUUUUGACAUGUGUUACUAUUGAAGUUUGAUGGAUAACAUUCAAACUUUUAACCACUUAUUAUUUGAUGUACAUGUUUUUCACUUGAUGAUAGUAUGGAAAUAUAUCCCAAAGUGUAUUCUGUCUUUUAUUUUCUUUGUAGUGAAAUAAUGAACAUGAAAUAUUCCACACUUCAUUAUAACAUCAAUUGUGUGUUUUUAAGCAGCUUGAAGGUAAAAUUUGUAAGGUUCAUUAAAUGCAUUCAUUUAUGUUAUAUUAUAUAAUUUUAUUUUGUAAUUUAACAUACUGUUUAGGGGGGACAUAUCCACAUCAUAAGUUAAAGAUUAUCUGUGUUUAAUAAUCAUCAAAUAUAGAAAUAGUUAUGAAAUUAGCCACUAUGAAGUGACUGGUUGCUAUAUAUCUAAUAGUAUUUCAUUUAUAGUUGCAUGAGAUUUUCUUUUCCCUUCUUCUCAUUAGACUUAAAAGGGAGGUGCUUUCCUUUCCAUUUUAAUGUUGACCCAUUAAUAGACACGUCAAAUGACCUACCACAGAUAAGGUGCACAUAAUUGCACAUAAUUUACGGAAGUAAAAUUGGCACAAUUACUCUGCUGCAUUAGCCAAGCUCUUCAAAGAUUGUUUUCUUCUUUAUUAACCUAAAUAGGCCUUAAUUUGCCUGUUACAUCAGACUCUUUAAAACUAGGUACAUACACCUACUUAACAUUCAUAACUGAGUGUAUCCACCCCUCCUAUUGACACAGUAGACAACUACCACAUAAGAUAAAUCUGAUAAGGUUGAAUGGAAGAUAAAGGUCUUUUCCUCAUUGGUUCAAAUGAAAGCCAGUCCUCCACAUGUUUAGGAUACUGAAGUCAUCUCUUUUGAUCAUUCUAUGGCAGUCAUAAUAGAGUCAGUGAGGCGUCAUGAAGAAAGAGGGAUGUGAUGAAAUGCCCAUGGCAUUGGGGAUUGCAGAUAAGUGUACACUGUCCAGUAGAUGCAGCAUGUGCCUAUCUAUGCUGAGGUCAAUGUCAAGCACAUUAGCAUAGAACGAAUCUGCCAGCAGAACAUACAAAGGAAAAAAGCCAGAUUCUUGAGGAUAUUCAAAGCUCCCUUGUGUAUAAACCUUUUCUUGCAAAUAGUAUAGACUAGAGACUGGGAUUUUUAAAAAGUUAUAAUAAUGUCCCAUGAAGGAACUUGGAUAAUUUAUUAUGACUUAAUUUUCAUGCAAAUCUCACCACCUGUUCAAAAACACCUUUGCAUGAAAUCUAUAUGUAAACUGACUUCCUUCACAGGGAAUUUGCUACACAUUUCAAGUUCCUUUGGGAAUGUGGCCAAUAAUAUAACUGCCAAGAUAGCAGUAGAUUUCUACUGCAGAUAGUGGAAACUUCUAACCAGUUCUGUAAAACACUUGUAAUCUAAAAGAAGAAAGGACACAGGAAAACAACGGUACUCAUAAAGAUAAUCUGAAAUAUAACCAGGUUGAGGGAAUUUCCCUAUGUUAAGCAGAAAAUGUCAGGAAUGGGAAAAGAAAUUGUUCCUGGUGAUUUGCUGCCUGUGCCCUGCCUGCCACUCACCACCCGACCCUACCAUCCCUUGGAUGUUGGGGAUGAGAUGGCAUGAAAUCAACAACACAGACUCAGGGAGCAGGUGAGAAACGCUGCAGCAAGCUUCUUAAUACCCUCUACCCAUGCCACAUUGGUCCCGAGAAAACUUCUCUUCUAAACAGCAGUUCCCGAUUGGCUGGUAUUGUCAGCGCCAGCAAUCCUUGGUCUCUCAGGCAGUCCUCAAUUAGGUCCUCCUUCCUGCAGGGCAUGCUUUUGAGGCCUUUGGCGUUUACAAGAGAUGGCCCUGCCAUUCCUGUUACAUGAUUCUAAUACUAUUUAUAAAUUAGCAUUUAUGUAUGUAUGUAUGUAUGUAUGUAUGUAUGUAUGUAUGUAUGUAUGAGCAGCUUGAACUCUGCCAUUAAGGUAAUCCAGUUUUUUAAGAGCAGUAGACUGAAAUUCAUGGUCUGUGGUUCUAGACUUCUUUGGCUUUCUCCUUUGAUCUCCACUGUUUAGCAUUCUAAGUCAAUUUUUUUCUGAUUAGAAAACCAUAAUUUGGAUUUCCCCAGGGCUAAGCUAUGGCUUUACUGUGUAUACGUCAUUGAUGUGAACUCUACAUUCUGUUCACAUCUGACAAUGAAGAUUGAGAUUGAAGUUAUCUCAUGAAACUAGGAAAGGGUAGAGGACAACUUCUUAUUUUUAUCAUUUAGCAACUAAUUUCUAAUAUCUCCUUCAUUGAAAAUAAUGACAUACCUCAAUCCGUAGUGUCUACAUACAUCAAAACAUCAUAUUGCAUUCCAUUAGAUAUAUUGGCAAAUAACUUAUCAAUUGCCAAAAAGAAUUGAAAAGCAAUAAACGUAAUAUAAAAGCCAGGAAACUACAGGUACUUUCCAAACUUUAAUAACUACAACCUAGCAAGCUCAUCAUAAUAUAGUGAUGUUGUAAGUCAUGAGUGCAUGCAAUACAUUUAUAUAUCAUAGAAUGGGUGAAUGGGCUACUGUACUGAAAGUAGAUACCAUUGAGGUUAUUAUAGAUUGAAUUUCCACUGUCAUAAAGUAAAAAAUAAUAAUAAUAAAUUGUUCAUCUUAAGGUUUUGCAGUCAUAUGUAACUAGAUACUUCCUGAAUGGCAUUUAGUACAGUAGGUAUGAGAACCACACAUAUUGCCUUAAUUCUAACCAUGGUUCUGUACUUCCCACAUUAUUUGGUUUUUAUCCCCCAGGGUUUUUUUUUUCCAAUUUUAGGAUAAGGAUAAAUAUAACUGUUUUAUAAAUGUGAUUUUUCAAUAUUAAGUGAAAUAAAUACAGGUGUAUUAUGGUUCUCUAGAGAAACAGAACUGAUAGACUAUAAACUGGAUUUCCUAAAGUGGCUUAUAGAUUAUGAUCCAACUAUUACAACUGCUGUAUCCAGUAGUCAUUCAGUCCACAAGACUGGAUGUGUCAGCUAGUCUUCGGUCAGAAUCUCAGACAUGGACUCUGAUGCCAGUGAGGAAAUGGAUUUAUACCAAGAGUGAAAAGAAACGGUCAAAGAGCAAGAGCUUCCAGAGAAAGCCCAGGUUAAAGGUAGGUCUUAUGACCUCAGGUGUUAUGGAUUUAAGUUGCAUCUUUUUAUCACAAAUGAUGCAAUUACUUAAAAAUCAAUUACAGGUAUGCCCACCAACUUAUGUUUUUCAUUAGUUCUAUAUGUGCUCAUGCUGAAAAACAAGAAUAGCCAUUACAACAGGUAUAUACAAAUGUACAUAUGAACAUAUAUACAUAUACAUAUGCAUACACAUAGAUUCGAAUAGUAAUUGGAAUAAUUUUAUUAUUUUCUAUUAUUACCAAAACCUAAAUUUGAAUACACAACCCACUGAUUCUUUACCUUUCACACUCUCAUAUGAGCUUCAUAUUUUUAAAUAGCUUUAUUAAUUAUUUGAGAAAUUCUUUCUUCUUUUUUUAUUGAAAAUAGAUUAAUCUCAUGUCAUGCAUUCCAAACACAGUUUCCCUACACUCCUAUUCUCUCAGAUCCCCCUACCCAUAUCCCCUCUCCCUGUAUCAACUUCCACCCCAUCUCCAUUCAGAAAAGGGCAGACCUCUAUAAGACAACAACCAAACAUAAAGUGUGUGUGUGUGUGUGUGUGUGUGUGUGUGUGUGUGUGUGUGUGUGCAUAGAUAGAUAGGUAGAUAGAUAGAUAGAUAGAUAGAUAGAUAGAUAGAUAGAUAGAUAGAUAGAGAUAAGUAGAGAUAAGGCAUAAGCCCUCACACUGAGGCUGGACAAGGCAACCCAAAAGAAAGGAAGGAGUCCCAAGAGCAGGAAAAGGAGUCAAAGACACAUCUUCUCCCAGAGUUAGGAAUCCCACAGAGACACCAAGCUAACAGCUACAACAUAUACACACAAAGAACCUAGUGCAAAGCCCUGUCAUCUGCAUUCCUGCCACUUCAGUCUCUGUGGGCCCAUAUGUGCCUUGCUGAGUUGAUUCUCUGGACUGUGUUCUCUUGACCCUCCAACUGACUCCUAUGAUCUUUUCCACCCUACCCAACUCUUCUGAAAGAUUCCACGUGCGUUUUAAUUGUAUUUAAUUACCACUCUAUAUCCACACCACCAUCACAUUCUCUAUCUAUAUCCAUCACAUUCUCUGUCUCUGUCUCUCUGUCUCUCUCUCUGUGUCUCUCUCUCUGUCUCUGUCUCUCUCUCUCUCUGUCUCUCUGUCUCUCUCUCUGUCUCUCUCUGUCUCUCUCUCUGUGUCUCUCUCUCUCUCUCUCUCACACACACACACACACACACACACACACAUCACACAUAAACACACAUAGACUUCUUUUUGUGCUUCUCAUUUAUUCGUGGUUGUGGGACCAUCACUGUAGUGAAGUUUAACAGAAGCUACACCCUCUAAAAAUGAAAUUCUUCCUCCCCUGAGAAGCCAUCAAGUGUUCAUAGCUCUUCUGUGUUUUGAGGACUCAUGAGUACCUUUGUACUCCAUGCUAAAACAUUGACUUGCUUGACUACAUGCAUGCCUUGUGCAGGCAGGUGCUGUGAGUUCAUGACAAUCCGGCAAUCCUGUCAUAUCCAAGAUAUGUUUCCUUCUGAAACUCCCUGAUCUCUGUAUUUUACAAUCUUCCCACCCCCUUUUUUUUUCAUGAUGGAACCUGUGUCUUGUGCAGGUGAUACAGAUGUUCUACUUAUGACUGUACUUUGUGUUUUAUACUCGACUCUUUAAUGUAGGGAGACACUUAUGUAUAUCACUGACAUCAAAUCCAGGGUCUCUCACAUCAUUGCUAUUUGGAUUUAGUUCAAAACAAUGUCUGCAAAUUUGCAGCUCUUGUACCACAUCCAAUAUCAGCAAGACAGAAUGUUGCAGUCAUCGUAGAGUUUUGUCUCCCACAUAAUCCAAUGAGUAUUUUUGAAUGUAUAUAUUUUCCCACACUCCACAUUACUUUGAAAAUUCCUCAUCUACCUUCUGUAAUAAGGUGAUAUUCUGAACUCUCAGUGAACUCUUGCCUAGUCAUAAACCACCCAACGUGGCCUAGACAAUAUCCCCAUUUUUUAAAGUAGACAACAACACUGUCUACCACUUCUAUUUAGGAGUCCACUGCUUUAAAGUCAAAGGUAAAAUUAUUUUCCUGUGCCCAGCUGACCUUGAAUAUUUCAGCCAAUUCCCUGCACUUACUUUUCUUUGUCUUCCAUUAUGUAUGUGCCAUUGACCUCUGAGAGCCCCUCCACAAGUUUUGUCUUUUAGGGAUAGCAUUCCAUCUGAUGUGCUCUGACAUCAACCACUACGAUAUCACCCUUGACCUCCUCGGAGUAAGUAGCUCCCUCUCUCUGUGAAAUCCUCCUGCUGAUCCUGUACAUCUCAGUUCAUACAUCAUUUCUCGAGAGCAGCCCACCUGAUAAAUCUCACAUCAAUCUAAAUUACUUCCAUCAUUAUUUUCCUCCAUUCCUUAUUAUAAUUAUUAAUUGCAUAGAGCCUCUGUGUGGAUUUAACCUCAGUUGUUUCAUUUAUAUCAGAUGAAUGAAAAAUUUUAUACAACUUUUAGCUCUUUCCUUCUGGAAAACUUUCUACCCAUACUCAGUUACCAUCCAGUAAAGAAACAAGUAUUCUUUGCUCCUGAGCCACUGUACCCUUUCUAAAAACCCAUUGGUAAGGAAGAGGAUGUGACUCUUAGCUGUGGCAGAAUAAAGGUUACUCCUGAAAGAAAGGAGAAAAUUAUCUUGUGCAAAUGUAAGGCAUGUUUCUACACUCAGCGGAUGGAAAAAUAAUUUAUUAAGACUAAAGCCAACUGGAGCAAGAGCAUAAAUCCUGCCUAUAAAUAUAAGUAUGGGGAAAGCCAUUCUGUUUCUGUUUGGGUUUUGGUUCAUUUGUUUUUUUGAAGAAAGAGAAAGAAUGCAGCUGUGGGUAGAUAGGGAGUUGGGGGUAUCUGGGAGCAGUUGAAAGAUGGGAAAGAAAAUACUCAAAAUAAAUUGAACGAUAUUUUGAAAAAUAUUCUUCAUCUAAAAAGUGUAGACAAAGCAGAGAAAUCACACAUUUUCUUGCUUUUAAUACUGACACUGUCAUCUGAUCUCAUAAAAAGUUCUUCUUCCAUGAAAAUCCAUGUUAUUGAAACCACUUUAAAAAUAAAACAGGUGUCAACACUUUAAAUUUUGUCAACUAUAAACUAUUCUAUCUUUCAAAAAUUAUGUCCAGAAGACUCAAAAAUAGUGAGAUGUCUUCAAGAAUAUGCUUAUUUUAUUGUUGACUAUAAUAUAAAGACUUUUAUACUAUAGAAGUGUAACUCCUGUAAUUGAAGCACAAUACAUUUUACAACUGCUCCUAUUAAUCAAGCUUUCUUCAUGUGAUAGCUCUGUGAAAAAAGGCUAUAAUUGGUCCUUUUUUGAACACUAAUUUUCAUGAGAAAUUAGUAUAUACAUAAAAAUAUU
RNAcentral lists this long non-coding RNA (15532 nucleotides) under Mus musculus (house mouse). Its description in RNAcentral is "long non-coding RNA chr16:72480759-72496291". The record is from RNAcentral. Lineage: Eukaryota; Metazoa; Chordata; Mammalia; Rodentia; Muridae.